CUCAGAUGGGACUGGGAGCAAAGGAGCGUCUCUGAAUGGCGGAGCAGUUGCAGCGUCCCACUUGGCAAGGGUCCUUGAAUUACCUCCGCCCCAGCCCUGACCCGGCCUAAACAUCAAACUUGAAAACUCAUCUUUCAGCAGCAGCGCUGGAGGAGGGACCAGGCAUCUCCGCUAUGGACCCGGGGGACUUUGAUCGCAGCAGAAGGAGAAUUUCCCGGGGGUUCCAGGGACUCCCAGGUAGAGGGGAGCUUUGGUUCUCACCUCGUCCCGCGAGCGGCUUUCCCGGGGACCGCAGGAGCACGGACGUCCAGGAGACCAGCCCGCUGCUGGAGGACCUCAGACGACGGCUGACGCGCGCCUUCCAGUGGGCGAUGCAGCGCAGGGCCUCGAGGCGCGCGCAGGAGGCGGCGGCGGCGCUGGAGGAGCAGAGCCGGGAGCGCGUGGAGGUCGCCCUGGCAGGGCUGCGGGCGGAGCUGGUGAGAGCGCGGGCUGGGCGGACGGCUCCCAGGGCGCCCUCUCCCGGGUCCUCUCCUCCGGCCGCGGAGCCACUGGCCGCGUAGCCCACCCAAGGCCUUGGGGAGGCCGACGGGAGCUGUUCCCAGAGCGGGAGCGCCCGCCACGGCGGCUGUUCUUCCCGGGGAGCCCAGCUCACGUCUGGUCACUGCAUUGACGCCCCCGCCUUUCCAGCACCGUAGGGAAGGAAAGGGGCCCUGCAGGACCCAUGGGGGUGGGGGGGACCCUAGUCUACCAGGGACAGAUCCAAGAUGUCUCCUCCCCAACCCGUUUCUAUAGUUUUCUGCCCUGUGGGAAACUAUGACUAUGCGUGGAAAUGCAUUUCCAAAACCACCAGCUGGCUAGAACUUUACUGGACCUAAACAUGAAGGUGCAGCAAUUAAAGAAGGAGUGUGAACUGGGAUUUACAUCAGACUCUCAAAGCCCAAAAGAUAAUGCUGCGAAUUCAGAAUAAAGAAAGGCACACAUGAAGAUAUGAACCCUAAAACUAACACAUCAACCCUGAAACAAUUCUGAUGAACACAUUAUGCUUUUCAUAAGUUUUGAGGGGCAAGUUGUAGACCCAAAACUUAGAUGACAGGGGAAGGUGAUGCAAAAACAUCUAAGAAAGGGGAGAGAAAAAUGAUGUAUUACCAAGUUUUAAAGUUACUUAUUUGUUGUUUUGACUGGGACAUAGAAGUGAAAUAUAAAUGUAAAUCUCUCCCUCAAAGAAUAAAGGCCAACUUCUGGUAUUCUACCUUGUGUGACCUGACGCUUCUGGCAUUGCCUGAGCUUUCAGAGUUCGUGCUUGUUUUGUUUAACUUGAUUAUUCUUGGUUUGUCUGUCCAGCAGCCUGCCCUCCUUUUUGUGAAUUAUUUCUACUUGGAUUCCAGCCAUGCCCUUUAGGUGGUCUGUCAUUAGGGGUACUCCACCGUCCUGGAUAUAGCCAUGCAGCUCAAGGCAGCAGAUGCGUUUGUCCUUAGGAUUUUUUGAAUGGGCACUGAAACAGCAGAUAAGUAUUUCUGCCGGUAGAAGCUGUGGGUAAGGGUCUUGGAAGCUGCUGGUGGUCACCAUGUGAGAAAGCCCACACCCUAAGGGAGAUGAUUGAAACAGAACCACUAAAAGUACAAAAAAAGGAAGGGGGGGUACUUCCUUGUUCCUGGGGUCAAGCUGUAUAAGACCCCAGGCCCUGCUCUUGGGUAUAUACAUCAGAUAUUCUGAUAUCCUUCUCAUAAAAUCUCUUUUUGCCUAAGCAAAUUCAAGUUGGAGUUUCAUGACUUGUAUCUAGUGUUCAUAACUAAUACAGUUGUUCAGUUUUAGGAGUUAAAAUAGUUCUUACUGUUGAAUUCGACUAUCUAUACCCCAAAAGUGCCGUCUUUUAAAUGCAAACAAUAAAAUUAAUAAAAAAUAGUUGCAGAUCUAA
RNA transcript from Cebus imitator (Panamanian white-faced capuchin), 1915 nucleotides. It is a transcript of the gene named alanine and arginine rich domain containing protein, with no coding region annotated. The record is from RefSeq and is a predicted model, not a curated record. The transcript is spliced from 2 exons. NCBI's taxonomy places the organism in Eukaryota, Metazoa, Chordata, Mammalia, Primates, Cebidae.